Molecule: non-coding RNA, 12757 nt
Organism: Meleagris gallopavo (turkey)
Lineage: Eukaryota; Metazoa; Chordata; Aves; Galliformes; Phasianidae
Source: RefSeq, a predicted model, not a curated record
CAUGUUUAACACAUUCAGCAAAUUUUGUCCUCCUGGCGGAAUCUCAGAGCUCAGCACACUGCAGAAUAAGUAGUCUAAUGCUCUGAAACUUUGAUGCAAAUUAGAAGUGUCAGUAUACCUUUUUAGUUGUCAUUGAGGAAAGCAAAGCUGAAUUUCUCAGGUGCCAGAAUGCAAGUCUUCAUCCCUUAAGACUCUUAGGGCUUAAGAGAAUUCAACUUUGGACAAAUAACCUUCAGUGCUGGAUAAAAUGAUAAACUGAAAACACGUAAUGCAGGUAACGUAAUCACCAUGUCUGAGAAGUGUCUGUGUGCCAGGCACCUUGUUGAUUGUCACAUUAAAAAUAGAAAAUCAAUCAGUCUGUGUAGACAAAACUAAGUACAGGGGAAAGUCCCUUCUACCACAGGUGACACCACACAAGCUUCCCUCGGACCACUUUCCGACAGUCAGCCUCUCUCAAUCCACACAGACCCUCAGACACACUCAUCCCCUUGGCUCUGUCCCAUUGCUUUAGGGCUGACCCCCUCAGGAAGAUGCAACUCACUUCUAUAAAUGCCUACGCCCAGCAGAAGCAAAACUGCUUGGUUUAAGCCCUUUAAGAAGAAAGAAAACACUAAGCAAAGCCAUUGACGAGGGGGAGGUCAGAAGGGCUUCGCAGAGCUUUGCCCCACGCUCUCUCGGCCGGGGCUGAAGCAGGAACCGGCAGCCGGACACACCCUCCAAUGCGAGGCCUAAGCAGGCCUCCUGCCCAGAUCCAGUUUCCCGAGAGACAAGUACCCACUGUCUAUGAUGAAAGAAUUGGAACAGCUUAUCCCACUGCCACUGACGUGAGAACUUCAGCAAUACACCUAAGGUCAUGGAGUUAAGGGCAUAAUCUGAGCUUUUGCAGUGGCUUACGCACGUGAGUAUUAAUCCUUGCAGCAAAGGCAAAUCCUAAAGGAGGACAGUGCUAUUCUCCAUAUAAAAUCUCAAAAUUUCUUGACAAUUACCAUCCUCUCUUGAAAUAGAUCCUCUUGAAAUGUUAACUUGAAAAAAAAAUUAUAAGCCUAAAAUGCAUGUUUCCUCUUUCUCUUCCUCCUUGACUUCAGUGGGUUGUGCAAAGGCUGUCACAUUUUUUUUUCAGGCUAUGCAUACACUACUUCAGGCCUAUUUAUGCAAAUUAUUACAAACAAUACAGAUGCUGCUGUCAGAUUAUAUUGUUGUGUUAAACCUACCAUAGGAUCACAUAGGUUUUAUUUUAAAACACUGAAUAUAAACAUCACUUGAUCCAGACUACUCUGGAGACAAAGUUGAGAUUGCAAAGUUACAGACUGAGCUAAAUUCAUGCAAGCAGCUGUGCACAGAAGUCUGCAAUGCAGUUUUGAGUUGAGUUUCAGAACUGCCUAGUCAUCAUAAGAGAUUUUGGAUUGAUGCAGAUUGAUUAACAGCAUUCUACAAACAACUUUUUUGCUAGAUUCCCAUGAGGAUUACAAUUUCAUUUUCUGAGAGAUGAAAUAGCUGCUAGAAAAAGCCUGUUUUACCCCAAACUCACCAGUGCUUUGGAGGUGAAAAGGGUGAAAAACACAGAAGAAAAUAUAUUCUGUCUUACUCUGAUAUGUAACCACUGGCUUUAACACUGUUCCUUCCCUUCCCUUUUUCCCCUUUCCCCUCCUCUCCUCUCCUCUCCUCUCCUCUCCUUAUUAAAUUUGAAACUUUCCAGCAAAGAUCAGUAUUAGUUGCAUCUAGUGUUUCCCCAUACAAAAGGCUACUAAGAACUGAUUAAAUAUCUGUAAUUAUUUCCAGACUUAAAACCCAAACAGCAACAGGUUCUCUAAUUCAAGCUCCAAAUUAUCUGACAACAAUGACAAAAAGCAAGUCUGGAACAGAAAAAUUCCAGAUACAAAACAGAAAUCAACUGCACUUUGUUUGUUUGUUUGUUUGUUUAUUUUGGGACUUCUUUGAGCACUCCUAUAGACACAAUUAGAAAAAAAAAAAGUAACUGGAAAGAAAUAAGAGUAUGUUAGAAUAAUAUUGCAAUUUCAUGAUUUUAAGACUUUUAAAAUCACAGUCCAUCUACGUCCAGCUAUUGUAAACAAGUUUCUAUCCUGCAAAGUCUCCUUGAACUCACCACCUGUAUGCUUUCUGCUCUUCUAGUAUUGUUUUCACCUAGUUGGUUUUUUUGCCUGUUUGUUUGUUUGUUUGUUUUUUACUUCUCAACCCUCAAUGAUUUCUUCACUCAAGUUUCUAACUUCUCUAUUUCUAUUCCUUACUUUUCUUGCUGCUAACAUGCUUCCCUCAUAUACCCAGUGCAGCGAUAUUCUGCACUGCUUCCACAACUGCCUUUCAUUCCUACCACUGAGCAUGAAUACAGGCUCGUGUUUCCUACUUUUCUCCUGAGGAGGGAACCAUCUCAGGAGUUGAGCAAGCUGUCCAUCUUACAGAUCUCCUUCACACUAAAGAGCUUCUCUCUGCUAGAGAAAAGGCUCUCUGGGAUAAGGCUGACUGUAACUAUGCAAAGCACUUCUGGAUCUAAUAUAUUUUGCUAAUGGAGGGAGGAAAUGUUAUCUCUGUAUCUUUAACUUGUAUAGCUUUUUUGAUAGUUGUAAAAUAGCUUUAAUUAGACAUAUCAAAUAAGCGUUAUACUUCAUUUUUACAGCAGGUCCUCUGAUUUGUUUUCUUUCGUACCUAAAGCCACCAAACAUGGAGUCAUGUGUUUAAGCCGUGUGAUGAUAAAAGAUUCUGCUUUAGGCCAGCAAGUUUUCUUCCUUCCUCUUGACACAAAAUUGCUUACGCAUGGGAAUCCUAAAACCUUAGAAAACCAGGGAAGGACAGAAGACACAUUUUUGUUCUGUGAUACAGAAACCCCAUAAUUCAAAAUCCUCUCUUUGCUACUCCUCAAAUGUUUUGUAUAAGUUAACUGGGAUAACUUGUACAAUUGCUUUACACACAGAACUAAAGAAAAUAUGCUUAAUUGCCUGUAGGGCUUUAACAAAAACAUGUUCAUCUGUCUUCUGACACUUCCCUAUCAACUGGCUUUGGAUAGCUCUAGUUCCAGCAGUGCUCUAUAAGCAGAUUGUGAUUUGUAAGGACAAAUCAUUAGUAGUCUUUUCAGAAGUCUGGAGAUCUCUCAAAUGCAGAAGUUUUCUUUAUCACAUUCUGUACCAAAACAAACUAUAAAGAGAUGGAGUUCUGUUCUCACAAAAUAUUUAUUUCUGUGAUAAUAAAGAAAUAUGUUUUUUUCUCUUUUUUUCUCUUACCUUGAGUAAGAGGUGUGAGCAGAAUUGCAUUAAUUCAUAGUGAUGCACAUAGCUAGUACUGGGUUAGUUACACAGAACAUGUCCAUAUUUUGUAUACUCCUUAAAUCUUUACAUUAGUUACAAAAAUAAUGUUCAGUGAGUAAAUUACAGUUAAUUGAAAUGAGUCUGGAAUGAGCUGAAUUGCUGCACUGCAGCUUCAGAAAGCAAAUUUACAUCUGCUUCCACUGAACAUUUUCUUUUAUUUUUCCUUUUGUACUUCGUAUUCUUAUCAUGUAUGUAAACUAUACAGGUGUUGAUUAAAAGAUUGCAAGAGAGACAUGGAAAACAUCUUUAUAAACAUACAGAAUAAAAUAGUUUGAGUGGCAAUUUGUGGUUUGUUUUCCAAUUAGGAAUGACAUUUAAUUUUCAGAGUUGAACUGUUUUUAAGAUAACGUUUUGUUGGUGUGUAUGCCUACUACUGUGACUACCGACUGUAAUUUUCAGGAUUUUAGCCACUGUGUUGACUACCUGCUCACAGCUUUAAUGUAUAAGCCUGUACCUACGUGAUGAGUGACACAGUCCCCAAAUUAGUCAUGGUUCCAGUUUUUAUGUACUCACAGGCUAUUGAGGAAGCUGUAGGUUUCAGUUUUUCACUGACUUCACUAGUAUUUGAGGUAGAUCAAAAUUUUUAAACUACUCCAGCUGUGUGAAAUAUCUCACAGAAAUAAGUAAAACUACAUCUGUAUUAUUAACAUCUUGCAAAUAAGGGGCCUGCAGCAAUGGCUACACGUUUAAGUUAACCUGGGACAAACUGACGCUGUCUUCCCAUUUGGCCGAUUGCUCACUCCCAUCAUCUUCCUUGUGCUGGCAAAAGCACUGAGGCUUCCAAGAGGAUGCAGUCAGGUGAGUUUGAGAUCGCAGGCCACCCUCCUGGCAGCAGCAAGCAUUUUGUUACAUACAGCUGGAAGUAUGAUCAUGUAUAAUCAUGACCUGAUUCUGCAAAACUGUCAGUUCAAGCUUUGCAUCUUGAAAGGCUGCACAUUUUAAUCAUGUUAUAAGAUACUAAGUACAAAACAGGAGGCAUAUGAAGAAAAGUAUCUAUUUUCACUUAAAUAUGAUACAGCUGAUAGUAGUACUGAAGAUAAACAGUGAUAGCGGAAUUAGUAUGCUGUGUUUGUACUUUUUAUGCAAUAUCAAAAGCAGGUGUGCCACAAUGUAAAGGGUGAAGGACAGAGAAGAAGAUGAUUUCCUGUUUUGUUUUCAGAAAGCUAUUGAAUUUGACAUACUUGAAUGUUUUUACAAUGCUUUAGAUAAGCUUAUGGUUUCGUGAGUUAUUCUCUGUCUUUCAGGGCUGGGGCUUUGAACUUUGACAUGUUGUAUCAUAUUAGUGCUUAUUACAGACCACUGUGAUGUUAUUUGGCACAUAAAUAAUCUUUAAUUAUGCUAGAACUUGCAUACAAUCAAAGUUUAUUAUUAGGACUGCAAAAAUAAUCUUUUUUCCUUUAGAAGCUUAAUGCUAUAGUUAAACUUUGUUUUUCAUAAGUUGUAGGGAAAUUUUCCAAAUGAAAUAAAUAGUCAACUGAUCUUUUUAUACUUGCUGUUGAAUAACAAGCAGAUUACUAGUGAAGGGUUUGUUUUAAACUGUAUUUUUAACUUGAUUUUUAUGUGAUAUCAAAGUUGUGUGUACAGGUGCACAUCUAUGUGUGUGAGUAUGCAUGCAUGUUUAUCUUUCUGUUUUCCAUUAAUAACUUUGAGCCCUUAGGCUAAUCCAACCAAAUUAACCUAGGAAUAGAGUUCUAAAAAUAAAUAUGUUCCUACAAGGCUUGGAAAAUAGCCAAGUAAAAGAAGGAAAUCUCAUCAGUUUCCUGAUUAUAGGAAAGGUUGUAUUGUAAGUGCACAUAUUGACACUGGAGAGUCUGCCUACAGAGCAGCCUGCGUAAAGGUCUCAGAUGUGGGAAAAAAGGCAGUUUCUUGGUCAACGCCUAAACUGUAUGGUGCAUGUUGUGACACACUCAACAUUCACACUGUCUUGUUUUAUGUCUUCUUUCUUUGCCAUUCCCAUGAGUAUUUCCAAAUCCUCCAGUCAGAUGCUACUCUUCAUGCUAAAGACAAGUGGCCCUGGAAUACUCAGCUUCAUGAAACUACUUGUUGAAGAGUGUUAAAGGAUACUUCGUGCCUGCAGCCAGCCUGGGUAGCUGUUUAUCACCUGCAAACAGAAGGGCCAGAAGGAAAAGCCUGCUGCAGAAAAUUUUAUCUUGCCCUGCUACCCUGUCUUCCCUCCUUUGCAGUCCCUCUAGAUUUGUGGAAAUGCUCUGUAAUCAGAGAGCUAGCCAAACUAAUCUCAAGAAAAAAUUGCAAAUGCUUGUCUCCUCAUUUUCAAAGGUGAAGUCACAGAUCAAUCUACCUGGGCAAGCUAGUGCUUCACUGCAGUUCACGGCUUACAUGAACCUGAAGUGCACGAAACUCUACAGGAUGUGUUCCACUUGAUAUUUUACAACUUUUUUUCUCAUUAGUUUGAUAUUCCCAUUCAAAAUAUUAUGUGGCAUUAUAAAAGUUUAUCCUGUCUUGUGAGUCUCACAGGUCACAUGUACUUUUGUCAAAGCUCUUAAAUUUACUUAUUCUUACGUGAUCUUGAUUAUCUUUAAAAAAAAGACAUAAGCUCUUUCAUUUUGUGAUUAGCAAUAAAACUUUGAAAAUGUGAUCCAGUAACCAAGAAUCAAAACAAAAUAAAAAAGGAAAAUGCAACAGUAAUCUCAAACUGUAGACCACUGUUAUGAUUUUAACGCGUGAUUUUUAAAGUCCUUGUACUGACCCUGCAUAGCAAUAAUAUAUCUUAACUUGAAGGCAAAAGGAGCCACUCAGAAUCUCCAUAGGAAUGACACCACUGCAGUCUUGUUUUCUUUUCUGUUUGUUUUUAAUUGACUAUGAAAGGUACUCUCCUUUUGGCAUACACUAUAUACCUCCACGAUAAAAAUGUAUCAUAAGUUGUAAUGUGGUCUUUUCUAGCUAUUAUGUAUGCAAAUACAUUCAGAAUGUGUGAUGAAGAACUAACAUAGUCUUCUCUAUUAAGCUAUUUAGAAUAGAAACUGGGAGAUUGCCUUAUUGUAUUUCUUAUUUUAAUUGACAGGCAUUUGGUUUGCAGAAGAUUUUCCAGGUCCUAGAGGGCUCAGAAUACAUCAGAUAUUUACAUAUUUAUGCCUUUUAAAUUAAUUAUGGAGGAUGUUUUGGUAAAUAAUCACCAUCCCUGUUUCAAAAUUUCACUUUAAAGGUAAAUACCAGUCAAAAAUAGGUGAGUCAUUUUGCUUUUUUUUAUUGUCAUCUGCCUAUAUAAGUAUUUUAAUUAUUUUUUUAAUGUAUAUUUUCUAGGAUACUGAUAUUUCUAAACUAGUUUACUGCAGAAACUCAUACAAAAGACCACUGAUAUAUAAGUUAAGGUUCAGUUCAAAACCUCAAGUUUCUUUGAAUAUGUUCCACAGUGUGAUCAUAAAGACAUGAAAACUUCAGUGUUAUAACUGAAUAUGCCUCUACUUAAAUUCAAAGGCUAAAAUUCACUAUGGCAAAAAGAGGCUUUAUUGAAGAUACAGCUUCUUUCUAUUUCACUAAAUGUAUGAGGUUUCAAAAUAAAAUGUUAUAGGGCCAUAAAACAAAAUGUAACAUUCUUCAUGCCUUUUGUUUUAUUUUUGCCUUCGGAAGUACCAUUAGUAAUGUCCCUCUUCUCUGUGUGUCAUUUUUUUCCACUAAACUUGAGGACACACACCGGCUGUGAAGCCUCAAUGCCCUUUCUGCAGUUGCUGUUACUAGAUUGCAAGCUACCGGAAGGAGAACAGAACAAUUUCACAACCUUCAUUUUCCGAGGAAAAAACAUGCACAAAAAAUGAGCCAAAAUCAAGUUUAAAAAAGUCAGAUUAUCUUUUGAUUCUCUUCUGCAUUUUCUCAUGCGACUUUAUACAGAAAGCACAAGCAAUUAUGUGCAAGUAGUUCUGCGCAUCUUUUAUUUAAAGCCCUUGCAUUUCAGCAUAGCGAAUUGGCUCACAAAGUGAUACUGGAUUACUUACAUGAUUCUGAAUUAGUAUGAAAGUAGAAGACCAACAAAUACAGAAGAAGAAUAAGCUUCUGAAUCAAUAUUUCCAAUGUGAAGUCAGAUCAUAUUCCCAGUAUUCAGGGAUGACCCUUUAUGUAUAGCUGCAAGGCUGCAAUACAAUAGGCUCUCCAUUUCCACAGUAAUGCAGUCCUUGGAUUUUGAAUGUGGGGUGUCAGCAGAGAGCAUUUCAAUUGUGAAGUUUAUUCUACAUGCCUCUGUCAAUCCAAUUAUAAUUAUGUUUAUUCAUGAAAAUCUGUAGCGGUUUCUACAGCUCUCCCAACCUUCUAACAUUAGUGCAGAAAUACCUUAAGAUUUGUCAUUUUGCCAACUUUAUAACAAUCUAUCUGAAUUUCCUUUCUUAAUCACAUUGUCUUCUUUCACUUCCCCAUAUCAACCUAGUAGACCUAACUGUUGCUUUAUAUCUUCCACAGGGAUGGCUCUACAUUCAUGCUUAGCUUAAAACCUGACUAAAAAUUAAAAAUACGAUUCUGAGGAAGCUAGUAAUAGAUGCAUGCCUUUACAACGUUAUUUAAAAUUCAGAAAGUGUAGCUAUUAGAGUUGCUAUCAAACAGACAACAAUAACAAAAUAGCACUAUCAUUAUAAACUUUGGGACAAAAUGUUUUCAAGAGGAUUGUUUGGUACAAGGCCUCUUUGCCUGAACAUUGCAUUCUCUGCUGCAAGGCAGAUAAUACCUUACAGGGAAGAAGUGACACAAUAUUUGCCCUGCUAGUCUUACUAAUGUUUACAAAUAAAUAUCUACAUACAAUUGUCUUUUUAGAGUAGUUUUCUUCCUGAGAGGAUAUCAAAGGACUUUUUGUUCUUUAUCCUAUCAGUUAAGCCUUUCAAGGCAAUAUUUUUGAGUUACUUUUUUUCAGCAAGAUAACUGUAAUUCUUUAACCAGGGCAGUUCUCCUGGCGAAUGCAGACAUACUCCAUAUCUAGGCCUUGAGUGCAAUAAGAGGCUGCAAUUGCCAGGAGAGGUCUCACCUGGGACCUUUACCUACAUAGCUGCUGCUGGUCCAGGCCCUCCAUUCAAGUUCUAGCUGAGGCCAUUAAAUCUCUUUGCCUGAGUUAUGUUGCAAGUGCACUGGUUUUCAGUUCUAUAUGUUGAGGUUUUAUUUUUUUUCUCCUGUUUUUGCUCUGCCUGCCUUGUAGUGAAUUGGUUGGACCAUGCCUUGUAGGUGAAGUAGUGCCUGUGUUGUGCUCAUCCACAGCUUCCUGGCUCAUUGCAUAGCCCUGCUAUCACUGCUUCUUAACUUUUUAUGGCUCACUCUGCUGACUGUAACUUCCUGGCUUGCAUUUUUUCUUUCUUAGAAUACAAAAUCCAUCCACAAAAGGAAAAGGUGUUAAACCUUCCUCUUAGGCUUCAUUAUACCACUUAAAAAUAGGAAGAGGGGGCAUGCUUCUAAUUUGGGAAGAGCAUUGUGAGUUUUCUGCUUACUUAAGAAGUUGCUGAUACACAUAGAAAUCUUAGUAGACUUAGCCAGUAACUUUUCUUUCCUUACUUACUAAUGAUUACUCAUAUAUUUAUUUCAGUAUCAGUUUAAUAUACUGUUUCUUUUUUCAAGCCUAUUACUAUAUAUUGAACAAACUGGAAAGUAUUUUGCAGUGGAGUGAUUGCAUAAUGUACAGCUUCUAUAUGCCAGAAACAACAAGUGUUCAUUUUGGCCUGCUGACUUCAUUAAGUGUGUAUAACACUAAAAGAAAAAUGUGGCAUAAUGUUGUUCCGUCUCUUACUUGAAACUUAACUCGUUUACCAUUAACUGUACUAGAUGCAGAGUUAUGCCAAAAUCAUCAGUUCUCUCUGCAUGCUACCAACCCAUUUCUCUUGAAGUUCUCUUGCUUGACACUUCAGAUUAGAGCUAAUAAAACAAUUUCUCUCUGUAGAAGUGUGUGACAAAUUUAUUGCAUGAUCUAAAUUACCACAGCAGCUGUGGGGAGAAGGAAGCAAUGUGAGUAAAGCAAGCAAGACCAUGGCUUGCUGGAAAAAUCGAGGGUACUGGAUGAUUCCUUGUAUUUUGAAAUGUCUUGGGUGUUUUGUCACCCAUUGACGGAUGAAAUUAGUUUUAUACUGGGGCUAUGAUUUGUAGUACUGAUCUUUUUAUGUUCUGCAAGAAGUGCUGGAGAACACAGUGUAAACUUUUAUUGUGGAAUAUGCUAGAACAUAAGACGAAUUUAUCACUUUGGGAAAGCAAAUGAAAUUGCUGAGCCUAAUUUACUCGGAGGGUGGUGGGGCACUGGUGCAGGCUGACUAGAUAAGCUGUAGAUACGCCACCAAGAAUUCAAGGCCAGGUUGGAUGGGGCCCUGGGCAGCUUGAUCUGGAGGAUGGAAACCCUCCCCAUGGCAGAGGAGUUGGAACUAGAUGGUCUUUAAGUCCGCUCCAACCUAAGACAAUCUGUGAUUCUAUGAAUCGUUGAUGUGACAGAGGGUGGAGUUCUACUUCCUGAAGAAGGGCUCUGUAGAUGUCAAAGAUAAUCCCUGUCACAGAUGGAUCACUCUAGUGUGAAACUUAAAGGUUAAAAGACCUGGAAAAGGACUUUUAAGACCUGAAAGGAAUGCUUUCAUGCGGAACAGCUGAGAACUGCAGCUGAAUGUCCAAGAAUUAUAAUUUAAAAGGUGUUUUACACAUCCCUCUCCAGGGAAUGGUGUAACUCCGUAUAGUAAUCUUUUAAUUGUUUGCUUUGUGUACAGCAAUUCUGAACCUGUGAAAUGCCAGGCAAGAACUGGGAAAAAUGAUUGCUCUGUUUCUCAGAAAACUAGCUUAAUUGUUGCUAAACACUGUCCUCAAUGGCUUGGUUCCAUUCUCCAACCCAGACGGGCCCAUGGCCUUUGCUAGCACCCCUGGGUGGUGUGCAUCAGCAGGACUGCUGCCCUGGAGCAAGCUGCCCAGCCUUCCCUCUGCCUCCUGGGUCUCUGCACUCCACGCCUCUCCUCCUCCAGGUCAGGGCAGCUCAGGAGUGUAAAGUCAGGAACACUUUACUCAUUGGUGCAUGGAGAAACAAAGCUUGAUUUUGCUUAUUAAGUUACAUAUAAGAACUUCUGUCCUUGAGCAAGGAUUCUGUCCAAGCUAAUCCUAAUUUUUAUUUGUCUUUGAAACAUGUUAGAAUUUCUGAAGGUUUCAAAGUAACGUGUGGCUAUAUAUAUUUAGGUUUUGUUUCCUUCACUGUAGUCUUUGUCUCUGAGCCCUUCAGUGACACCUGAAAUAAGAGCAGGUUAUUAACUGCUGUUAUAGUUUAGCUCUGCAAUUAGACUUUCAAACUGCAAUACAGAGGAUUUCUGCAGCCAAAAACGUAGUCACUGAACAAGCAUUUCUGUUCAGUGCAGCAUUGUCUCAAAUGUCACUCUCAUGAUAUCAUUCUUCCUAGAUGAAAUUGGCAAAGUGUAUACCUUGUGAAUCAACUCACAGCUUACAACUUUGACAGCUUAAAUGCUGUCAAAUUUAAGAUAAUGGUAGUUUUGUUGGUAUUUUUUAUUUUAUUUCCCUUUUAUUCCUUAUAUAUGACUUGCAAGAAAUGUUUAAUGGCAUUUUGUCCAUAUCUGAUAGCUAAAUAAGCAGCAAAGCAUGGAUUGUAUUUAGCAGGAAAAGGCAGGGAUAUUUCAACAUUUCUUUUCUCAAAUAGGACUCAAUUUCAAAAUUUCACAGACUGAGGAGGUAAUAGGUUUUGUUUCCCCACAUUUAGAAUUGAGUCAUUAGAAUUUGCAAGAUAUUUUACAUCUUGAAGGUGCUCAGGUUACUUAUUGACCAAAAUCUGCCUGGGCUACUGGUAGAUUUGGAACCCAACUUCUGCUAGUUUUUCGUUGUUUUGUUUUAAAUGAAGAUUACCAGAGAAAAAAUGAUAUUCUGUAGGGAUUCAGUUGUCCGAAGAAAAAAAAUAUGCUUUUCCACUGUGCUUUUCAGUACUUUGAUAGCCGUCUGUCACUGGAGUUAAGUAUAGAAGUGUACAAGUACUUGAAGAAACAUGUCUGCAAAUACUGCAGAUGAAAGUAAUUCUGCAGUUGAGAUCUUGAUGCAGACCAGCUUCGAGGGAAGAAUCACGCAUUAUGGAUAGUCCAGGUGUUCAACCUAGUUGUCCUAGGAAUCUGGGUCCUUCAGGACUAACUGCUGUGGUGUAACUGAGUAAGGCAUGAGCUUGAACCCCAUGUAGACUAUCUACAAAGAUAUUAUAUAUUCAUAAGCUUUCAGAAAAUAUCACAUACAAUGUUCCUUUCAUAUAGUACUGAUUAUGAUAGAAUUCUGAAUAUAUACAGGGUAUACUCAGAAGGAAGAAUAGAAUCCUUUAAUCACCGGAGACAAGAAAUAUUCCUUCUAAUAAUACCUAAAAAUACUACCGAUACUAAAAAUUGUACUAAUGAUACUGAAAAUACUAUUGAUAAUGAAACCCAGGAAACACUUCCAGUGUGAAAAAGAUUAUCUGCUGGCACGUGUCCGCAUCUGUUCAGUGUUACCAAAUUAAUACAAAACUAAAAGGACUGGAAGGAAAGGAAGGCAUAUGAGGAAGGCAGGAAAAGCUUAAAAGCAGGGUAGGCUUAAGUUAGGGAAGCCAUUUACUUUUACUGUGUAACUACAGCUUGAUAAACAAUAAUUAUUUGAUGUAAACUGACCUGCACAGUUUUCUUGUACCAUGGGAACUCAAUACUUCAGCUGUGAAAGUAGAUACAACUUUUUUAACAUCUGAUAGCUUGUAGUGAACUCUGUAUACUUUUUUACUGCUUUAAUAUUGAUGAUGUCAAUUCUUCACAAGCCACGAUCAUGGAUGUAGCAACAGUAAGAGCAUGUUUUCUGCAAGGACUUACGCAGUGCUGGUGACAGACAUAAUGCUGCAUAACAGCUUUAUAAGGGGAACUAACAUGAUUAUAACAAGUCAGAUACUGUAUGAAAUAGAGUUUAUAGGUGGCAUUAAGUUCUACUGUAAGCUAUUACAGAGGAGAGAGACCGUACUUCCAACAUAUAGUGGCUGUACAGUAGAUAUGCACAAAUGAGCCUACUUUAAAGUAGUGAAUAUCUAUCCAACUAUAAAAAGAAACUCCCUUUGGUUUAAGUUUCACUGUUGGAAGGGAGAAUAUACAAUUCUGGUCAGAAUUAUAGGUGUUAAGGAGAGUAGUACAAACAGCCAAAAAAGCUUAGCACACUUCAGGAGAAGCUGGAGAAAAAAAAAUGUAUUUGAGAAAGGGAUAAUAUUAUCCAGUCUGUGUAGCUUAUGCCUACUGGAAAUUUAGAGCAAGGCUGUUAGAUGGUUCUGCAGUACUAACAUGAAAGCUUCUGAAUGAAUGUUUUUUAUUUUUUCUUUGAAAAAAACGAUGUCUUAUAUAGCAAUACAAUAGACAUUCUUUUAUAUGAAGAAAAUGUUUUCACUAACAUAAAUGAUUCUUGAACGUCAACUUGCAUGGUGAGUAGAAGGCCAAAUUCAGUAAGUACGAGUAUAAAAUUAAUCCCUAAGAGAUUCAUUCUUUUAAAAAAAAAAA